GACGAACGCUGGCGGCGUGCCUAACACAUGCAAGUCGAGCGAGUGAAUCUCCUUCGGGAGUGAAGCUAGCGGCGGACGGGUGAGUAACACGUGGGCAACCUGCCUCAUAGAGGGGAAUAGCCUUCCGAAAGGAAGAUUAAUACCGCAUAAGAUUGUAGCUUCGCAUGAAGUAGCAAUUAAAGGAGCAAUCCGCUAUGAGAUGGGCCCGCGGCGCAUUAGCUAGUUGGUGAGGUAACGGCUCACCAAGGCGACGAUGCGUAGCCGACCUGAGAGGGUGAUCGGCCACAUUGGGACUGAGACACGGCCCAGACUCCUACGGGAGGCAGCAGUGGGGAAUAUUGCACAAUGGGGGAAACCCUGAUGCAGCAACGCCGCGUGAGUGAUGACGGC
This 390-nucleotide ribosomal RNA is filed under the name uncultured bacterium. RNAcentral's name for it is "bacterial SSU rRNA". It matches the Rfam family "Bacterial small subunit ribosomal RNA", at positions 28 to 415 of the family's 1533-position model. The record is from RNAcentral.